GACGAACGCUGGCGGCGUGCUUAACACAUGCAAGUCGAACGGAAAGGCCCUGCUUUUGUGGGGUGCUCGAGUGGCGAACGGGUGAGUAACACGUGAGUAACCUGCCCUUGACUUUGGGAUAACUUCAGGAAACUGGGGCUAAUACCGGAUAGGAGCUCCUGCUGCAUGGUGGGGUUUGGAAAGUUUCGGCGGUUGGGGAUGGACUCGCGGCUUAUCAGCUUGUUGGUGGGGUAGUGGCUUACCAAGGCUUUGACGGGUAGCCGGCCUGAGAGGGUGACCGGCCACAUUGGGACUGAGAUACGGCCCAGACUCCUACGGGAGGCAGCAGUGGGGAAUAUUGCACAAUGGGCGGAAGCCUGAUGCAGCAACGCCGCGUGAGGGAUGACGGCCUUCGGGUUGUAAACCGCUUUCGGCUGUGACGAAGCGUGAGUGACGGUAAUGGGUAAAGAAGCACCGGCUAACUACGUG
This 468-nucleotide ribosomal RNA is filed under the name uncultured bacterium. RNAcentral describes it as "partial 16S ribosomal RNA". It matches the Rfam family "Bacterial small subunit ribosomal RNA", at positions 28 to 507 of the family's 1533-position model. The record is from RNAcentral.